GACGAACGCUGGCGGCGCGCCUAAUACAUGCAAGUAGAACGCUGAAGGAGGAGCUUGCUUCUCUGGAUGAGUUGCGAACGGGUGAGUAACGCGUAGGUAACCUGCCUGGUAGCGGGGGAUAACUAUUGGAAACGAUAGCUAAUACCGCAUAAUAGUAGAUGUUGCAUGACAUUUGCUUAAAAGGUGCAAUUGCAUCACUACCAGAUGGACCUGCGUUGUAUUAGCUAGUUGGUGGGGUAACGGCUCACCAAGGCGACGAUACAUAGCCGACCUGAGAGGGUGAUCGGCCACACUGGGACUGAGACACGGCCCAGACUCCUACGGGAGGCAGCAGUAGGGAAUCUUCGGCAAUGGACGGAAGUCUGACCGAGCAACGCCGCGUGAGUGAAGAAGGUUUUCGGAUCGUAAAGCUCUGUUGUAAGAGAAGAACGAGUGUGAGAGUGGAAAGUUCACACUGUGACGGUAUCUUACCAGAAAGGGACGGCUAACUACGUG
Molecule: ribosomal RNA, 495 nt
Filed under: uncultured bacterium
Lineage: Bacteria
Description: partial 16S ribosomal RNA
Rfam family: Bacterial small subunit ribosomal RNA
Source: RNAcentral